Molecule: long non-coding RNA, 2033 nt
Organism: Dromaius novaehollandiae (emu)
Lineage: Eukaryota; Metazoa; Chordata; Aves; Casuariiformes; Dromaiidae
Exons: 4
Source: RefSeq, a predicted model, not a curated record
CCCGCCCGCGCGCCCGCUCCGGCGCGCCCGCUCCGGCGCGCGCCGAGGGGUGGGCGGGAAAGCGGCGGGCGGGUCGGCGGCGUCUCGUCGCGCGCUCGCCUCACGGCGGCGGCCCCGCCCCCCCCUCCGCUCACCUCAGGGAGGCGCCAUGGGCGCUGUCGCCCCGCCGGGCGCUGCCGCGAGCGGAGAAGCGGGCGGCGACGGCGCCUCACGAGAUCACAAAUAACUGAAUAGAAAUGACCCAGGAUACAAGUGAAAACAUCUUUUUUAUCUAGACUUCAAUAAACACAGUGCUUAGAUCUACUCUACAUGCAAAAGGGAGUUUGUGACAGCUGCCUUCAUAAGAGAUACUCCAGUAAGGAUGACAGAUUAUGAAGCCUACAAAGAGAGAGAUGGUCGGCCACAGAUACAUCAUCUUCAGGAUUACUCAACAACUCUCCAAAUUACUUAAAUCUGAAGACUGGGUUAUGGAGACAUGCUUUAAUCCUGAACAGAAUGAAAAACAGUUUUGGAAUAUAAUCAUUGUUAUUUGUUAUUUGCAAGAAAAAUAGAAAUCAUUGUCUAACUAUGAGCAAGACCAGUCUUUCUUAUCUGAAACUUGAACCUCUCUGAUUUACUCCCAAACACAUUUUAUAUAAAACUGUCAUCAUUUUUCAAAUGAGGUAAAAUGCAGUACAGAUUUGCUUUAAAGGCUGUGGUUAUGAGUCGUUUUGUGUCCUUUUGUCAAAUAUUCUUAUAAAGUUUAAAGCACAGAAAAGAUUUUAGCAAGACAUAGAAGACUGGGUAAUAAGCAUCUAUAUUUCUUCUUUCUUUUAUUCUUGUGUGUGCUUGAAAGCUUGCAGCAGUAUUUCAACAACAGUUAUUGAGAAAAGGCUGACUUCAGCCUAUUCAUUCUGAACAUCUGGGCAGAACCUAACAACAGUAAUUAAAACCCACUAAAUUGGUAACAAUACCAAAUUGCUAGAGAUGGAACACUGCAUAUUGUCCCACCCUUCUCUGUGGAUUUCUGUUAGGUCAAUACAGCCUGCUCUUGAAAAUCCUUUCCUGUAUGUCUCUUUCUGAAGUCUCUGACAAGAAAGAGCUGCAUCCAAAUUCUCUGGUCACAUGAGCAUUGCUCUUGGAUUUUUUUUUACCACAAACCCAGGAAAAUUAAAGGCUCAUAGUUAAUACAGUUGGUAUAACAUUUCAGGAUUCUGUUCUUUUCAAAUAAAUUAUAUACAAUGAUCUGUAAUAGCUGCUUCCUUGUUUUAAAACGUAUCCAUGUAAAAUAUUUUAAAAUAAUAAUUAAAUUGCAUGCUAGCAUUUGUGAGGAACACGGAAUUGAACAGUACAGAGAGUAACAGUCACUUUUUAUCCCAAACAGUUUUUUUUACCAAGGACAGCAGUGAGAGGCUUACUUUAGCUACUCCACUUGGACAGAGCCACCUCCAGGUUGAGGAGUUCUAGUCCCCCACAAUCUAUUCAGUUCUUGCCAAAGUCAGUGACCUCAGCACGACUGUGCUACCCACAAAAUCACCAGGAGCAAAAUGUAGCUCUUUUGAUUCUAUAAAGUUGACCCCAGUAAAUGCAGACAUCCACAUUUUUUAACAACUGGAGGGGCACUGAACAGCUAACUUAGCAAACAUUUCAGAGAUUGGAGUAAAAGAGUCAGCACACCUUUCUUCAGGAUUCCAGCGCUCCCCUUUAAAAUAGCUUAGCCCAAGGACCAAUGGAUAAUGAAAAAUUAAGGAAACAUACUGUGAGCUUUCAGAGCAGAAGGGAACUGCAGUAUCUGCUUAUUGCUGUUCCCAAAAGUAACAGUUAAUGACCCCUUUGCUUUAAACUGCUUUAAAAUAUGCUAAUCAACUAAUUUCUUUCUGCAAAGCUCUUCUGAAUGUCAUAUUCCUACUGGUACAAACUGUCAGCAGUGUAUCAUUUCAAUCCUGCAAUCAGUUCAUUUCCUAGUAUUGCUGUACACACUCUCUGAAAACGUAGUAUUACUUCUUUUAUUUCAAAGUUCUCUAUCUUUGUUAUAAUAAAGUGUAUUGGAUCUA